UUUAGUAAAGGUUGGAAGUGGUAAAUUUCUUUUUCUUUUCCGUUUUUUACGACCCAGUGCUCUACAGCGAAUGAGCUCAAUCAUUGUUUAUAUGAGAAAACAAUGCAAGGGAAGAAGCGAAAAAGGAAAACUGGGAGAAGAAGACGAAGAAUUGGUGGGAGAUUUCUCUUUUUUUUUUACUGUUUUUUUUCCUCUCUUUUGCUCCUCUCUUUUGCUCGAAUCUUCGCUGGGGAGGCGAGCGGGCGCCAUGGAUUGAGCGCCCAAAUGAUCGAAGCGGCGGCCUUGAUGGCGAGAGCGUCUUGAUCGAAGCUUUCCUGGCUUUUGGGUUGGAUGGUGUUCUUGCGUUUCAGUUUUCUGGGGUUUUUGGCUGUGGCGGACAAGGCAACGAAGAAGAAGAAGAAUGCUUAUCAGUGCUGCCACUGCUGCUGN
RNAcentral lists this long non-coding RNA (429 nucleotides) under Selaginella moellendorffii. RNAcentral's name for it is "long non-coding RNA (SMOE_LNC000720)". Lineage: Eukaryota; Viridiplantae; Streptophyta; Lycopodiopsida; Selaginellales; Selaginellaceae. The record is from RNAcentral.